RNAcentral lists this ribosomal RNA (560 nucleotides) under uncultured Glomus. Its description in RNAcentral is "SSU rRNA". It matches the Rfam family "Eukaryotic small subunit ribosomal RNA", at positions 546 to 1106 of the family's 1831-position model. The record is from RNAcentral. Lineage: Eukaryota; Fungi; Glomeromycota; Glomeromycetes; Glomerales; Glomeraceae.
AAUUGGAGGGCAAGUCUGGUGCCAGCAGCCGCGGUAAUUCCAGCUCCAAUAGCGUAUAUUAAAGUUGUUGCAGUUAAAAAGCUCGUAGUUGAAUUUCGGGAUCAAUAUUUCGGUCAUGCCGUUGGUAUGCACUGUUAUCAUUGAUUUCUCACCUUCUAAAGAACCGUAAUGCCAUUAAUUUGGUGUUACGGGGAAUUAGGACUGUUACCUUGAAAAAAUUAGAGUGUUUAAAGCAGGCUCACGCUUGAAUACAUUAGCAUGGAAUAAUGAAGUAGGACAUCCGAUUCUAUUUUGUUGGUUUCUAGGAUCGAUGUAAUGAUUAAUAGGGAUAGUUGGGGGCAUUAGUAUUCAAUUGUCAGAGGUGAAAUUCUUGGAUUUAUUGAAGACUAACUACUGCGAAAGCAUUUGCCAAGGAUGUUUUCAUUAAUCAAGAACGAAAGUUAGGGGAUCGAAGACGAUCAGAUACCGUCGUAGUCUUAACCAUAAACUAUGCCGACUAGGGAUCGGAUGAUGUUAAUUUUUUAAUGACUCAUUCGGCGCCUUACGGGAAACCAAAGUGU